This is an RNA transcript of Homo sapiens (human), 1197 nucleotides long. RefSeq lists it as uncharacterized. The record is from RefSeq and is a predicted model, not a curated record. NCBI's taxonomy places the organism in Eukaryota, Metazoa, Chordata, Mammalia, Primates, Hominidae. The transcript has 3 exons.
CCAGGGACCCUGGUAUCCCUGGCUCGAGCCCAGCGUGCGCCUCGGCCUGCUAGGGGUACCCCAAGGCAGACAGAAGGCCCAUGAGGGAAAGGUGCAGCAGUCCAUCUGGUGCUUGAGUGUCAACCUAAGGCCUGAUGUCUAUGUUGGACCUUGGGUUCACCUGAGGCCUGAUAUCCACCUGGGGCCUCAAUGUCCAAAUGGGGCCUGAUGCCCAUCUGGGUCCUGGGUGUCCACCUGCAGCAUGGAUGUCCACUGGUACUUUAUGUCCACCAGGGGCCUAAUGUCCACCUAAGACCUGGUGUUCACCUGGGGUCUGAUGUUCAGCUGAAGACAGGAUGUCCACCUGGAGCUGAGGAAUCCACCCAGGGACUGGUGUUGAACUGGGGCCUGAUGACCACCCGGGGACAAGCUCCUGCUUCAGGUGCAGAAACACAGCUAUUUCCAGUGCCAGCUGUUGAGCCAGUGCCAGCACCAGGGGCAGAGCCCCUUCCAGGGACAGCGCUGGAGCUAGAGGAAGCUCCAGAGCCCUCCUGCCGCUGCCCUGGGACUGCACAGGACCAGCCUAGUGAGAAGCUGCCUGACUUCAUGGCACCUCCUGUAGAGCCACUGGCCUCAGCCCUGGAGCUGAAAGUGUGGCUGGAGCUAGAGGUGGCAGAGAGGGGGUGACCAGCACAGCUCCAGCCAGCAGCUCCCACACUGCUCCCAGUCCUGGGCACAGUGGAAGCUAUGGAGGCAGAGACCAGGGUGUGCAACCUGGGCUCCUCUGCCUCACUGGAGAGGGACUUCUCUCAUUCAGCAGAGCAGCAGCCCUGCUGCUGAAGGCCCUGCCGCUACUGCUGCUGGAGGUGUUUGCCUGCCUGCAGGAGGUGCUGGAGAGCAAGAAAAGGAGCCUGUGAGCAGGGGUUCCAGCAGGUCCUCCUGCUCCCAGAGGCGACCUCCUCCUCCAGGAAUGGAGGUUUGCCCUCAGCUGGGCAUCUGGGCCAUUUGCCUCUAAUGUGCUGCCCAGGAUGGCCUCUUCUUGACAGGUGGACAGGGGUUGAGGGGGCCAGGGGGCAUCUCCAAAGGAAGCUCUUAAACUCAGCAGCAGCACUCCAGAAUCUCCAUGCCUGCACCUGCCCAAGGAUUUAUUCAUAGCUUAACUAAGAAUUUCAAAUUUCUACCAUAACACUGAAAUAAAGUUUGACUUUUUGAAACUUC